GGACACUGCAUCCAGACUUUUCAAUACUGGAUAGCCAAUGUCGGGAUUAAUAGGUUAGAAAAAAAAACGCGUGGUAUUUUUCGCUAAAUUCUCAUAAAUACCUACUGAACCGGCGGGGUGGAGAUUAGCGCUGCUGGUUCACAUGUUCUCUUGAGUGUCCCGGUCCGCGCUUGCAGUCCAAAGAGCCGGGUGUCCAGGUUAAUCAGAGUCUCUGGACGGACCCCGGCCGGUGUGCGUGUGCACGGCGAAGGCUUCAGCGUGCCCCUCGUGGACGCGCUUGAGUCUUCCAGCGAGACGCUUGAACAGGAUGCCGCCCCCACCCCGAUCUAACCUAACAAGCGACGUCCUGAACGGUCUGGCACGGGCACUACCAAAGAACACGCCCGCGGGGGCUGUUCUGCAAAUGCCCGGCUCCCUAGCAGCAGCUGAUAGAAUGUCGAUAGAAUAUCUCAAUCGCUUCCGACAAUGACGCGACAAUGGAUCUGUUUUUGUAAUGCGUGGAGUUCUAUUCGGCGACCAACCGCGCAGGUCUAGUGUCGGGGAAGGCAGAAUGUCCACAUUGCAAGAGGUUCGGCGUCCAUGGUGGCAGGGCGCUGGUCUUGAAUGGGGCUGAAGGAAGGCCGCUCAUCGGUUGGGUUGGAUCCGCGGUAGCGGUGGGUUUUGCCCUCGAACCCGCUAAAAAUGGAACCGUGGCACCAGAGCGAGGAGACCUCGCCCGAUUCAAAACCAGACGCGACGUGCUCGGCGCGCAACGCCUCUGAAGACGCAGAGAAAUUCAUCAGACGCCUCGUGGUGGAAGAAGGCCAGCGUCUGAUGGCGGACAAAACCCUCUACAGGAGACCGUCGUGGUCUCCGAACAUCCAGGGUGACCAGUCCCGCUCAAAGAUGGCCGCCCCCGUGCUUGGUCACCCCCACGCCGAGGUCAAGGGGUUCAUCGAACAACAUGGGGUUCUGGACGCUUUGGAAAAAGUUGUUUCUUUGCUGUUUCAUAAACUGGUGGAAGCCACAAACUCGGAUGGGCAUCCGGUCUUUAAAACGGACCGGGGGAGCGACCGCUACCACGAGGUCGAGUCCGGAGAAGUGGCUGACAUGCUGGACAGGGAGAUCCGUCUGUGCCGGCUGGUGAAGGGCCUGGAAAGCGUGUCGACAGCUGCCCCCGACCCGGAGCCGACGCCGGCUCAGAUAAAAAAAACAAAGACGCGCACCCCGAAAGAAAGAUCCGAGCGACCUCCCGCGACACACGCCCAGGACGUCGCUCCGGGAGGGGCGGCGUGUCCUUGCUGUGAGAAAAACACGGCGCACCCCGCGCGAGAAACCAGGAAACCCGCCCCCAAAACCGCUCCCCCGAAGGCAGGCAAAGGAAGACAAAAUAAAGCAGCAGAAAUCUCGGAAAAUACCGCCGCAUGGAAGAAGACUGGUGGGGGAGCCGCCCAGCAGCCCAGCAAUGACCCCAGGGUGAGCCUCAGACGGAUUCUGGAGGAGGCCUAUUGGAACAUGAAUGACUGGACCAAGAAAGGAGUGGAGCUGUCUCACAAACUGGGCAUACUUUUGACCCCAUCUGAAAGGAGCUGGCAGGAAGUUAAGACCCUCGGUGUGAAGGCAGAGCUCGGGUCCCAGGGCCUCCUGACUGAGGGCCCGGCGCCCCCGCACCCUGCUGCCGCCGGGGCCUGUGAGACCCCUGUCCAAGCUGAACCAGAGGCGAGGCUCCCUGGGCUCGACAGUGCCAUGGCAGCGCAAGAGGCCAUCUCAUCUUCCCACCAGCUCCCUGCUGAGAAGGAAACAGCGGAGAGGCCCAUCUCUCCCACAGACGGCGCACCUUUCCCACAAACAGAGGGAUGAGGAGUGUUUGGGCCGCUGUCCAGCCAGACUAUUCCAUGUUUCGGCAGCCCUUCAGCCACAAUAAAAAAACAAAGAGGUGAUCACGUGCUCUUGUACCAUGUAGAAAAUGGCAAAGAUCCCUGAAUUAUUGAUACCCUGUAUGGAGAGAUCAAUGUUUUGUUUUAAAACGAAAGCUUUUACUUGCUUCCGAUCCUAGUCAAUUAACCAGUUGCUGCCCUCUCUCUCUCUCCCCAGACGCCUGAAGAGGCUCUGCUGCUAAAACACAUUUCUUUUUUUUCUAUUUUAUUU
RNAcentral lists this long non-coding RNA (2127 nucleotides) under Lepisosteus oculatus (spotted gar). RNAcentral describes it as "lncRNA (ENSLOCG00000021062.1)". Lineage: Eukaryota; Metazoa; Chordata; Actinopteri; Semionotiformes; Lepisosteidae. The record is from RNAcentral.